UACGUAGGGUGCGAGCGUUGUCCGGAAUUACUGGGCGUAAAGAGCUCGUAGGUGGUUUGUCGCGUUGUUCGUGAAAACUCACAGCUCAACUGUGGGCGUGCGGGCGAUACGGGCAGACUGGAGUACUGCAGGGGAGACUGGAAUUCCUGGUGUAGCGGUGGAAUGCGCAGAUAUCAGGAGGAACACCGGUGGCGAAGGCGGGUCUCUGGGACGGUACUGACGCUGAGACGCGAAAGCGUGGGGAGCGAACAGG
This 253-nucleotide ribosomal RNA is filed under the name uncultured bacterium. RNAcentral describes it as "partial 16S ribosomal RNA". It matches the Rfam family "Bacterial small subunit ribosomal RNA", at positions 524 to 776 of the family's 1533-position model. The record is from RNAcentral.